RNAcentral lists this ribosomal RNA (415 nucleotides) under uncultured prokaryote. RNAcentral's name for it is "bacterial SSU rRNA". It matches the Rfam family "Bacterial small subunit ribosomal RNA", at positions 505 to 918 of the family's 1533-position model. The record is from RNAcentral.
GUGUCAGCAGCCGCGGUAACACGGAGGGGGCGAGCGUUGUUCGGAAUCAUUGGGCGUAAAGCGUAUGUAGGUGGCCGGAUAAGUCAGACGUGUAAGCCCACGGCUCAACCGUGGAAUUGCGUUUGAAACUAUUCGGCUUGAGUGCAGGAGAGGAAGGCGGAAUUUCCAGUGUAGCGGUGAAAUGCGUUGAUAUUGGGAAGAACACCAGUGGCGAAGGCGGCCUUCUGGCCUGCAACUGACACUGAGAUACGAAAGCCAGGGGAGCAAACGGGAUUAGAUACCCCGGUAGUCCUGGCUGUAAACGAUGGGCACUAGGUGUAGGAGGUGUUGAUCCCUUCUGUGCCGCAGCUAACGCAUUAAGUGCCCCGCCUGGGGAGUACGGUCGCAAGGCUGAAACUUAAAUGAAUUGACGGGG